This 425-nucleotide ribosomal RNA is filed under the name uncultured bacterium. RNAcentral describes it as "partial 16S ribosomal RNA". It matches the Rfam family "Bacterial small subunit ribosomal RNA", at positions 354 to 796 of the family's 1533-position model. The record is from RNAcentral.
GUGGGGAAUAUUGGACAAUGGGCGCAAGCCUGAUCCAGCCAUGCCGCGUGAGUGAUGAAGGCCCUAGGGUUGUAAAGCUCUUUCACCGGUGAAGAUAAUGACGGUAACCGGAGAAGAAGCCCCGGCUAACUUCGUGCCAGCAGCCGCGGUAAUACGAAGGGGGCUAGCGUUGUUCGGAAUUACUGGGCGUAAAGCGCACGUAGGCGGAUAUUUAAGUCAGGGGUGAAAUCCCAGAGCUCAACUCUGGAACUGCCUUUGAUACUGGGUAUCUUGAGUAUGGAAGAGGUAAGUGGAAUUGCGAGUGUAGAGGUGAAAUUCGUAGAUAUUCGCAGGAACACCAGUGGCGAAGGCGGCUUACUGGUCCAUUACUGACGCUGAGGUGCGAAAGCGUGGGGAGCAAACAGGAUUAGAAACCCCGGUAGUCC